Molecule: long non-coding RNA, 3219 nt
Organism: Electrophorus electricus (electric eel)
Lineage: Eukaryota; Metazoa; Chordata; Actinopteri; Gymnotiformes; Gymnotidae
Source: Ensembl
AUGACUUGGGUAGUUAUAGCUAUGUUGUAUUUAUGCUGGAAUUACAAGCGUGACAGAAUUACAAGUUUCCGAAAGCAAGGCACGAAGAAGGAGAAGCCGGUUAUCCAACACCCAACUGACCCUAACGCCACCCAGGCAGAGCUGCCUGUGCCCCAGCCACUCUUUGAUGAGCGCUCCUUGAACCUCUCCGAAAAAGAGAUUGUUGACCUCUUUGAGAAGAUGAUGGAGGAUAUGAACCUAAAUGAGGACCGCAAGGCCCCCCUGCGUGGGAAGGACCUGAGCACCAAGCGAGAGAUGGUGGUCCAGUACAUCUCUGCCACAGCCAAAUCUAUAACUGGGAGCAAAGUUACGGGUGGGCUAAGGAACAGCAAGCAUGAGUGUACGCUGUCGUCACAGGAAUACGUACAUGAGCUGCGCUCCGGAAUCGCUGAGGAGAAGCUCCUCAACUGCCUGGAGUCUCUGCGUGUCUCCCUGACCAGCAACCCCGUCAGCUGGGUGAAUAACUUCGGCCACGAGGGUCUCGGCCUGCUCCUGGACGCCUUGGAGAAGCUUCUCGACAAGAAACAACAAGAGAGCAUUGACAAGAAGAACCAACACAAACUCAUCCAGUGUCUCAAAGCCUUUAUGAACAAUAAGUAUGGCCUGCAAAAGAUACUUGGCGACGAGCGAAGCCUCCUUCUUCUGGCAAGGGCCAUCGAUCCCAAGCAGCCGAAUAUGAUGACGGAGAUUGUGAAGAUUCUGUCAGCUGUCUGUAUUAUUGGAGAGGAGAACAUCCUGGAUAAGAUCCUGGCAGCCAUGACCAUCGCAGCCGAGAGGAAUAACAAGGAGCGAUUUGCUCAGAUCGUAGAGGGGCUGGAGAACCACGACGCCCAGCAGCUUCAGGCGGCCUGCAUGCAGCUGAUCAACGCCCUGGUCACCUCCCCGGAUGACCUGGACUUCAGGAUACAUCUGCGGAAUGAGCUCCUGCGCUGCGGCUUGAAGAAGAUCCUGCCCGAGCUGAAAGAGACAGAAGAGUUGGACAUACAGUUGAAGGUGUUCAAUGAGAACAAGGAGGAGGACUCUAUUGAGCUGUCUCACCGGCUCGAUGACAUCCGUAAUAAUGAAAUGACUGAUCCAUUUACAGUAUACCAUCUUCUGUCCAACAUGGUGAAAGACACAACCUCUGAGCCUUACUUCCUGUCAGUUCUCCAGCACCUGCUGCUCAUUAGGAAUGACUACUACAUCAGGCCUCAGUACUACAAGGUGAUCGAGGAGUGCGUGUCCCAGAUUGUGCUACACCGGAGUGGGAUGGACCCGGACUUUGGCUACCGGGAGAGGCUGGAUGUAGACUUCACUGUCCUUAUCGACCAAUGCGUGGAUAAGGCCAAGGUUGAGGAGAGUGAACAGAGAGCAACUGAAUUCUCCAAAAAGUUCGACGAGGAGUUCAGCGCACGACAGGAGGCGCAGGCCGAGCUGCAGAAACAGGAGGAGAAAAUCAAAGAGCUUGAGGUACAGAUCAGUACCCUGCGGAGCCAGGUGGCUGCUGGUCCUGGGUUGCCUGCUCCACCACCACCCCCUCCACCCCCACCUCCACCUGGGGCAGGGCCGCCUCCACCCCCUCCCUGUCCAGCGAUGAUGCCGCCGCCUCCGCCUCCGCCCGGCUGCGGUCCUCCUCCACCGCCCCCUCCGCCCGGCUGCGGUCCUCCUCCACCGCCCCCUCCGCCUGGCGGAGGUCCUCCGCUUCCUCCUCCCUUCCCUGGGGCGGUGGCUGUCCCCCCACCUCCACCUGUGAUCAAACUGCCUUAUGGCCUGGAGCCAAAAAAGACCUACAAACCUGACGCGGUCAUGAAGAGGGUCAACUGGUCGAAGAUAGUGCCUCAGGAGAUGGCAGAGAAUUGCUUUUGGAUCAAAGUCAAAGAGGAGAAGUUUGAGAACCCGGACCUGUUCGCCCAGCUCUCGCUCUUCUUCUCGUCCAAGUCCAGAGGUAAGCGGGCCUCCUGUUCCUCCAAACCAAUGACACAAUUUAAGAAAAAAGCGAAAGAGCUGCGAAUCCUAGACGCCAAGACAGCCCAGAAUCUGUCAAUUUUCCUCGGAUCAUUCCGGCUGCGUUAUGAAGAGAUCCGGGACAUCGUGCUGGAGGUGGAUGAGGAACGGCUGAGCGAGGCACUGAUCCAGAAUCUGAUCAAGAACCUCCCUGAACAGAAGGAGCUGAGUGCUCUGGCUGAACUGAAGGGCGAGUAUGAGGAGCUGUGCGAGUCUGAGCGGUUUGGCAUUGUGAUGAGCUCAGUGAAGCUGCUACGCCCCCGUCUGAACGGCAUCCUCUUCAAGCUGACGUUCGAGGAGCAGGUGAACAACAUCCGGCCGGACAUCAUGAACGUCACCUUCGCGUGUGAGGAGGUGAAGAAGAGCGAGGGCUUCACCAAGCUGCUGGAGCUGAUCCUGCUGGUGGGGAACUACAUGAACGCCGGCUCCAGAAACGCCCAGACCUUCGGCUUCAACAUCAGCUUCCUCUGCAAGCUUCGGGAUACGAAGUCGAUGGACCAGAAUACAACACUUCUGCACUUCCUGGCUGAGAAGUGUGAGGAGAAGUAUCCCGAGAUCCUGAAGUUCCCUGAUGAGCUGCAGCAUGUAGAGAACGCCAGCAAAAUGUCUGCCCAGAUCCUCAAAGCCAGUUUGGACACGAUGGAGCGUCACAUCCAGAGGCUGGAGAAUGACAUCCAGAACUUCCCCAAGACUGAGGACAAACAGGAUAAGUUUGUGGAAAAAAUGUCCAUAUCCUUCACAUGCUACUCCCGCGAGCAGUACGAGAAGCUCUCUACCAUGCACAAGAACAUGCAGAAGCUCUACGAGAGUCUGGGGAGCUACUUCGCCUUCGACCCCCACACCAUCAGCAUCGAGGACUUUUUCGGGGACCUGGCCAACUUCCGCACCCUCUUCAUGGACGCCAUGAAGGAAAAUCACAAAAAGAGGGAGAUGGAGGAGAAAGUGAAAAGGGCCAAGAUGGCAAAGGAGAAAGCCGAGCGUGAAAAGCAGGAGCGUCAGCAGAAGAAGAAGCAGCUGAUCGACAUGAACAAAGAAGGAGAUGAGACAGGUGUGAUGGACAGCCUGAUGGAGGCGCUGCAGUCUGGCGCGGCCUUCCGUGACCGCAGGAAACGAACCCCACGCACUGGUGAGAUUCCCCAAAUGAACCCCACGCGCUGGGGAAGCAAAACAGGACACCUGGUGGAGGUGCCAUGCUGA